AGAGGGAAACAACCCAGACCGCCAGCUAAGGUCCCAAAGUCAUGGUUAAGUGGGAAACGAUGUGGGAAGGCCCAGACAGCCAGGAUGUUGGCUUAGAAGCAGCCAUCAUUUAAAGAAAGCGUAAUAGCUCACUGGUCGAGUCGGCCUGCGCGGAAGAUGUAACGGGGCUAAACCAUGCACCGAAGCUGCGGCAGCGAACGUAUCACUUAAAGCGAUUCAGCGGAUGACGAUUGACGGAGCGAAGCGACGUCAAAGCGUAUACAAAGUCGAGUCGGUUUAAGGAUACGUUCGUUGGGUAGGGGAGCGUUCUGUAAGCCUGUGAAGGUGGCCUGUGAGGGUUGCUGGAGGUAUCAGAAGUGCGAAUGCUGACAUAAGUAACGAUAAAGCGGGUGAAAAGCCCGCUCGCCGGAAGACCA
This 416-nucleotide ribosomal RNA is filed under the name Salmonella enterica subsp. enterica serovar Give. RNAcentral describes it as "partial 23S ribosomal RNA". It matches the Rfam family "Bacterial large subunit ribosomal RNA", at positions 1014 to 1347 of the family's 2925-position model. Lineage: Bacteria; Pseudomonadati; Pseudomonadota; Gammaproteobacteria; Enterobacterales; Enterobacteriaceae. The record is from RNAcentral.